Molecule: ribosomal RNA, 489 nt
Filed under: uncultured bacterium
Lineage: Bacteria
Description: bacterial SSU rRNA
Rfam family: Bacterial small subunit ribosomal RNA
Source: RNAcentral
GAUGAACGCUAGCGACAGGCCUAACACAUGCAAGUCGAGGGGCAGCACGAGGUAGCAAUACGUAGGGUGGCGACCGGGCGGACGGGUGAGUAACACGUAUGCAACCUGCCCGUAAUCGGGGGAUAACCCGGAGAAAUUCGGACUAACAACUCCACGUAUCUGUAUUAUUGCAUGAUAAAACAGAUAAACGCAAGGAUUACGGAUGGGCAUGCGGAUGAUUAGCUGGUUGGCGGGGUAACGGCCCACCAAGGCGACGAUCAUUAGGGGUUCUGAGAGGAAGGUCCCCCACAUUGGAACUGAGAAACGGUCCAAACUCCUACGGGAGGCAGCAGUGAGGAAUAUUGGUCAAUGGGCGAGAGCCUGAACCAGCCAAGUCGCGUGAAGGAAGAAGGUCUUAUGGAUUGUAAACUUCUUUAGCAGGGGAAUAAAGGUUAUUACGAGCUAAUAAUUUGCAGGUACUCUGCGAAAAAAGGAUCGGCUAACUCCGUG